UGGGGAAUAUUGGACAAUGGGCGAAAGCCUGAUCCAGCCAUGCCGCGUGUGUGAAGAAGGUCUUCGGAUUGUAAAGCACUUUACGUUGGGAGGAAGGGCAUUAACCUAAUACGUUAGUGUUUUGACGUUACCGACAGAAUAAGCACCGGCUAACUCUGUGCCAGCAGCCGCGGUAAUAAAGAGGGAGCAAGCGUUAAUCGGAAUUACUGGGCGUAAAGCGCGCGUAGGUGGUUUGUUAAGUUGGAUGUGAAAUCCCCGGGCUCAACCUGGGAACUGCAUUCAAAACUGACUGACUAGAGUAUGGUAGAGGGUGGUGGAAUUUCCUGUGUAGCGGUGAAAUGCGUAGAUAUAGGAAGGAACACCAGUGGCGAAGGCGACCACCUGGACUAAUACUGACACUGAGGUGCGAAAGCGUGGGGAGCAAACA
This 427-nucleotide ribosomal RNA is filed under the name uncultured bacterium. RNAcentral's name for it is "partial 16S ribosomal RNA". It matches the Rfam family "Bacterial small subunit ribosomal RNA", at positions 355 to 774 of the family's 1533-position model. The record is from RNAcentral.